RNAcentral lists this transfer RNA (85 nucleotides) under Escherichia coli. RNAcentral describes it as "tRNA-Tyr". It matches the Rfam family "tRNA". Rfam says of the family: Transfer RNA (tRNA) molecules are approximately 80 nucleotides in length. Their secondary structure includes four short double-helical elements and three loops (D, anti-codon, and T loops). Lineage: Bacteria; Pseudomonadati; Pseudomonadota; Gammaproteobacteria; Enterobacterales; Enterobacteriaceae. The record is from RNAcentral. RNAcentral also lists the same sequence under 1 other name.
GGUGGGGUUCCCGAUCGGCCAAAGGGAGCAGACUGUAAAUCUGCCGUCAUCGACUUCGAAGGUUCGAAUCCUUCCCCCACCACCA